GUAAUCCCUUAGGAUGUCUAAAUUGUUCAGUAUGUAUCCUUCUAGCUCAGAAGUUGCCAGGGCUUAAUGUUGAAGUUAUAGACGGGAAGGUAAUCCGGACACGAGACAAGAAAGUUUCCCUGUGCAUCAUUAUGUAUCCUCUAGUAACUUGUUUUCUGGUGAAAUGGUGUUGUCAUGUACUUCUGAGCAUGUAUAGUUGAACUUUAAUUGUAAUUCUCUAUGAAGAAUAAUGUGAACU
Molecule: unclassified non-coding RNA, 238 nt
Filed under: Hevea brasiliensis (rubber tree)
Lineage: Eukaryota; Viridiplantae; Streptophyta; Magnoliopsida; Malpighiales; Euphorbiaceae
Source: RNAcentral